CAGUGGAGCGUAGCAAGGUCACUUUCUGGGUGACUGUGACGUCAUAGUUACAUAACCACCCCUCCCCUGCCUCCAGUGGAUUUCUGCACCGGACUCCAAGCUCCAGGGCCCUCCCCUGUCAGGAGGACACCUGCCUGGGCUCCAGGAGGCCCAUCCGCACACGCCUGAGGCUGCUUUCCCAUAGAUACGGGCUUUACCUGCUUGUCGGCCCACCAGCCCGCCCCCCGGGCCCCGGGCCCAUCAGCCAGAGCAAGUUGGGGCUCCUCGGACUCUGCACGCAGAGCAGCGCGGCCUCCAUUGCCUCCACGCAGCACCCCGGGGUUCUGUGGCUGCCAGUUUUGCCCCUGGCAGAGCCGGGAGCGGGCCUGACUCUGCCCCACGCUGCCGGGGGAGGGCAAGCCCAGGGACCAGGGCGGAGCGUUCUUCACUCUGGACAUCAAGAAGUCACUUCGGGCCCCGGGCUCGGGUUCUCAGGGCAGAGAUCCGCGACGGCCUCCAGUCCCACUGGGACCAAUUAGAAUUUGUUCUAAGUUCUUCUUUUCUCAGAAUCGUCCUUAAAUAUCUUUGGGACUGGUUUCAGGAGGCAGAUACAUAGGAAGGACUGGCGUCUUCCCCUGAAGUUUCUCCACGAACAAGGGCCAACGAUCUGACCCUCCCCAGCGACAGGAGGCUGGGUUCCACCCUUGGAGCGGCUUCCAGCAGCAGUAAGCUAAUUGCACGGAGCAGAGAGCCCAUCAGAGACGACCCGACUCCCUACUCCAAGAUGCAGGGUGCCUGAGCUGGGAGGUACAGCCAGCUUGUCCCUGCCGAGGUGGCACAAGACAAGCCAGCAGGACUUUCUCUACACCAAGUGCAUUCCCUGCCCCGUGGGGAACGCUAGCUUUGGAGACAGUGGCACCUGCGAGAAGAUGCAGGUAUAUCGGGAUGAGUGGAAAACAACUUCAUUUGCAUCUGGAGAGACCCAAGCAGUGGCUUCUGCAGCAGGGACUCUGACAAACAGCACACAGACCUGUCUACGCCGUUGCCCAACAUGCCUGCAGACUUCUCAAAUCCUUGAAUUCUGCAAGCCCACAUCCUCACGGCUCCUGUUUGGAACUGGGUUGCAAAACUGUACUCCCAGCUGGAACUCAGCAUCACAGCAGCUGUUAUUAAGUACCUACCAUGCACCAGGUUUGAGAUGCAUUUAUGUCCUCGACCCAAAACCAAAACCAUAUAAGGCAAUUCCUGUUUCCCUCUUCUGAGGACACGUGGAAGGAGGAAGUAAUUUCCACAAAGCCACACAGCUCAGAAGUGGCUGCACUGAAGCUGGAACCUGGGUCUGCUGACUCAGCCUGGGCCCCUAACAAUCUUGCUGCUUAACCAGUUCAAUGAGCUAAUCACCCAACUAACAAACCAGUAGACCCGCCAACCCUCCACUCCAACCCUCCACAUGCGUACGCUGGAUGCCAGGCACUGGAAACAAAGGGAGAUGAUGACAAGAAUCCCGCCCUACCUGUUGGCCUUUAGCAGAUUGCUCAACACCCCAGGACUUUAGUUCCCCCAUCUAUAAAAUGGAACAAUAAUGCUGCCUCCCUCCCUCACUGGGUUAAGUGCCUGUAAAGCACUUAGAACCGCGUCUGCCACAGUUCAAGCAUUCGGUAAAUGUUAUCUACUAACAUGACGUUAAUGGAACCGUGAUGUUUUAACUUACAUUUUGUUUCCAGUGCAAUGUGGCGCAAUCGAUUUUCAAACAAAGCAACUUUUUACAAAGCCUGUACCCAGGGAUGGUGGAGAGGGCGGUGAGCUCCAUUCUCAGCCCAGCAAAUAGAUUCACACGUCACCCUGGUACAUCUCUAUCUUUAGCCACAAAGGACAACAAAACAGGACUCAGCCUUCCACUUUCAUCCUCCCUCUGCCCAUCUGGUGAAUGCGCGGGGGGAAGAGCAGUCCUAACCUCUCUGGUCCCCCGGGUGCCCAGGGGGAGGUCUGCCCCCAGUAGCCAAGAGAGGAGCCCCGGCACCCCGUCCCUGCCCGUGGCAGAGCGAAGGGGUGCCCGCCCAGCUGCCAAGGCCUGAAGAGCUGGGACGAAACAGAAACCUGCCCUGGUGGCCAACGCCCAAGCGGCCCCAGGGCCACAAAACAAAACUCGCCUUCCUGGUCUCUUUCCUUGAAAAGCAUAGUCUGGAUCCUGCGUUUGAGUUCACAAGU
Molecule: long non-coding RNA, 2187 nt
Organism: Canis lupus familiaris (dog)
Lineage: Eukaryota; Metazoa; Chordata; Mammalia; Carnivora; Canidae
Exons: 3
Source: RefSeq, a predicted model, not a curated record